Oryctolagus cuniculus (rabbit) is the source of this 2205-nucleotide long non-coding RNA. The record is from Ensembl. NCBI's taxonomy places the organism in Eukaryota, Metazoa, Chordata, Mammalia, Lagomorpha, Leporidae.
UGGCAAUUUGGUAUCUUCUAUAUUACUAUAUUAAUUUUAAAAUUAUUUUUCUGGGUGUGUGAAGAAUGUCAUAGGUGGUUUGAUAGGGAUUGUGUUGAAUCUGUAAAUUGCUUUGGGUAGUAUAUACAUUUUGAUACUAUUAGCUCUUCCAAUCCAUGAACAUGAGAGAUAUUUUACAUUUUUAAUGUCUUCUUCUGUUUUUUCAAUUAGUGUUUUAUAAUUUUCAUCUUUCACAUGCUUCGUGAAAUUUAUCCUAAGAUACUUAAUUUUUAUAGCUAUUAUGAAUGGAAUUUUAUAAGUUCUUUUCAGCAAAAUUAUUAUUCAUUUUUUGAAAUGUUACUAAUUUUUGUUUGUUGAUUUUGUAUCCUGCAACUUUACUGAAUUCUCUUAUCAGUUCUAAUAUUUUUAAAUACCAACAUCUUUGGAGAGAGCGAUUUAAUAAAUGCCUUCAGGGCACCCUCUGUCCCACACCCUGUCCCACGCCCAGGAUACGCUAGAAUCUGCUCUAAAUUCAAGCUGGCAUAAACACGUGGACUGGGCGGCCCUUCUCAUCUUCCUGCUGUGGCCUGGGGAGGGGAGGGCCUGCUAUUUUCUGCAGGACACAGAUCUCGGGGUAGAGAGGACAGAUGGAGGGAAAACCAGCCUUAAGGUGUUAGUGCAGCCUGGUGAAAUACUGCUGGCAUCUCUGAGGGACUGCCCUGUGGGUCUGGGCACAGACACUGGAAUUCCUUGGGGCAUGGAGAAAGCUCUGGGGCUCCAUGACUGCAGCCAGAUCCAGGCCUGAGGCCGCUGACACUUGACACCGGGGCCUUUGGUUAGUGAGGAGCAGACUUUGUGUCUUGAACGGAGAAGCAAGACCUGGGGGUGGGGGGAGGGGGGCAGGGGUGGGAGCCAAUACUGAGUGCCUGCAGCAUCUACGACUAUCUUCACAGCUCAGAACUUGUAACUAAAAUAUUUAAAGAAUCGGAUUUUGAAUGAAAAUUAAAGGGCAAAUGUUCUCAAAAAAAAAAUGCCUUCAGUCUUGGUGUUUAUAAGUUUGAUUCAGACUUCUCUUUACCUUUUAAUAGGAUGAACAAAGUAGUUUGAGGUCCAUAUUAUACCUUGGGACAAAGGAAGGGAGUAAGGGAUAGAAAAAGAUGGUAAGAAAAGGUGAAGAAAAAUAGCCCCAGAGUUUUAAUUUGGCACACAUUAGGUCUUCUAGGGACCCUGACUGUCCAUGAAGUUUGCAGCAACGACUGGUUUGAGCCUGUUUGAUUGCUUCUAUCAUGAGCCUCUUCAUACUUUAAAUUAAGAAUGUAUUUUUCUAUGGUGUUUCCAGGAAGAUGACCACAGAAACCCAUGUGGCAAUUUAAUACUGCUACCUGGAGUGAUGGAGAAGAAAUAUAAAGCUGGCAUGUUUACCAGUUGAUUGUUGAUUGUUACCAACAGUAACUAUUCUUGAAUCUCUACUCCAUGUCAGACACUGUACUAGGUACCUAACACAUAUCCCUACAUAAGCCUCAAAAGUAUAUCUGUCAUUCUGGAAACGUAGUUGGUGAGCAAUUAGAUGUGGCUUCUAUCCCAGGCCUAUUUGAGGCAGGAACAAAUGUUUCUCUGCCAUAACACACUGCUAUGACAUCCUUUUUUUCAAUCCUUAACUUGACUUCCUAUUCAGCCUUCAAUGACCAGCCAUCUUCUCUCAGUGACCUCAGUGAUAUCUUCUCUCAUAACUCUGAUUUGACACUUUUCAAAUACAGCUUGAACUCUGGCUCUGCCUACCCCAAGUUGCAAUUAUUUUUUUUUUCCUGCCUCUGCCCCAGCUCCCCACCCAAAUCACUGAGUCAUUGUGUAUUCUUGGGAUCACCAGACUCAUCCUCGUAGCAGGAGUUCGGAGGUAUCCCCAGUUGGUCUACAAAAUAACCUUGGCACGAAGUCCAGCAUCUAAGAGUCAAACGUUUGCUGUUGGUUGAGCCACUCAACAUUGUUCAGAUUUACUCUCCAGUAGCUGACAGCAUCCUCUCUGGAGCAAUGGCUUACCGUUGGGAAUUUUGUGCCCAUAUAGUCUUGUCCUUGUUUCGUGUUGCCCCCCCCGCCUCUUUAUAUCCCAAAAGGAGAACAUAUCUUAGAUGCUCUUUACAUUUAGUCAUUCCUCUCUUGUGUGUGCAUUCUUUAUAUUUUGGAUUCUAGAAGAAUAAAAGAAGUACAUAGAGUAUCUAAUGGCUUCUU